UACGUAGGGGGCAAGCGUUGUCCGGAUUCACUGGGCGUAAAGCGCGUGUAGGCGGCGCGUCAAGUCGGGUGUGAAAGCCCGGGGCUCAACCCCGGGAUGCCGCUCGAAACUGGCGCGCUUGAGGACGGAAGAGGGGAGUGGAAUUCCUGGUGUAGCGGUGAAGUGCGUAGAGAUCAGGAGGAACACCCGUGGCGAAGGCGGCUCCCUGGUCCGUCCCUGACGCUGAGACGCGAAAGCGCGGGGAGCGAACGGG
Molecule: ribosomal RNA, 253 nt
Filed under: uncultured bacterium
Lineage: Bacteria
Description: partial 16S ribosomal RNA
Rfam family: Bacterial small subunit ribosomal RNA
Source: RNAcentral